CUCAAAUGAAUUGACGGGGGCCCGCACAAGCGGUGGAGCAUGUGGUUUAAUUCGAUGCAACGCGAAGAACCUUACCUGGUCUUGACAUCCACAGAACUUUCCAGAGAUGGAUUGGUGCCUUCGGGAACUGUGAGACAGGUGCUGCAUGGCUGUCGUCAGCUCGUGUUGUGAAAUGUUGGGUUAAGUCCCGCAACGAGCGCAACCCUUAUCCUUUGUUGCCAGCGGUCCGGCCGGGAACUCAAAGGAGACUGCCAGUGAUAAACUGGAGGAAGGUGGGGAUGACGUCAAGUCAUCAUGGCCCUUACGACCAGGGCUACACACGUGCUACAAUGGCAUAUACAAAGAGAAGCGACCUCGCGAGAGCAAGCGGACCUCAUAAAGUAUGUCGUAGUCCGGAUUGGAGUCUGCAACUCGACUCCAUGAAGUCGGAAUCGCUAGUAAUCGUAGAUCAGAAUGCUACGGUGAAUACGUUCCCGGGCCUUGUACACACCGCCCGUCACACCAUGGGAGUGGGUUGCAAAAGAAGUAGGUAGCUUAACCUUCGGGAGGGCGCUUACCACUUUGUGAUUCAUGACUGGGGUGAAGUCGUAACAAGGUAACCGUAGGGGAACCUGCGGUUGGAUCACCUCCUUACCUUAAAGAA
This 643-nucleotide ribosomal RNA is filed under the name Klebsiella pneumoniae. Its description in RNAcentral is "bacterial SSU rRNA". It matches the Rfam family "Bacterial small subunit ribosomal RNA", at positions 900 to 1533 of the family's 1533-position model. The record is from RNAcentral. Lineage: Bacteria; Pseudomonadati; Pseudomonadota; Gammaproteobacteria; Enterobacterales; Enterobacteriaceae.